RNAcentral lists this ribosomal RNA (913 nucleotides) under uncultured marine archaeon. RNAcentral's name for it is "bacterial SSU rRNA". It matches the Rfam family "Archaeal small subunit ribosomal RNA", at positions 4 to 922 of the family's 1478-position model. The record is from RNAcentral.
UCCGUUGAUCCCGCCGGAGGCUACCGCUAUUGGAGUUCGAUUAAGCCAUGCGAGUCGCGAGUCUUAGGGACUCGGCGUACCGCUCAGUAACACGUGGGUAACCUGCCCUAUGCUGGGGGAUAACCUCGGGAAACUGAGAAUAAUACCCCAUAGUUCACCACGCCUGGAACGGUGGGUGGAUGAAAGCUCCGGCGGCAUAGGAUGGGCCUGCGGCGUAUCAGGUUGUAGGGGGUGUAAUGUACCCUCUAGCCAUCUACGCGUACGGGUGUUGGGAGACAUCGCCCGGAGAUGGAUUCUGAGACACGAAUCCAGACCCUACGGGGUGCAGCAGGCGCGAAAACUUGGCAAUGCGAGCAAUCGUGACCAGGGAACUCCAAGUGCAUCGGGUAAGACCGAUGCUUUUCUUGACUCUUCAAAGGUCUUGGAAUAAGGGGUGGGUAAGGACGGUGCCAGCCGCCGCGGUAAUACCGGCGCCUCAAGUGGUAGUCGCUUUUAUUGGGCCUAAAACGUCCGUAGCCGGUUUGGUACAUUCGUGGGUAAAUCAAGGCGCUCAACGUCUUGAAUUCUGCGAGCACGGCCAGACUUGGGACCGGGAGAGGUGUGGGGUACUCUCAGGGUAGGGGUAAAAUCCUGUCAUCCUGAGAGGACCACCUGUUGCGAAGGCGCCACACUAGAACGGAUCCGACGGUCAGGGACGAAACCUAGGGGCACGAACCGGAUUAGAUACCCGGGUAGUCCUAGGUGUAAACGCUGUGGACUUGAUGUUGGGAGUGCUCCGAGCACCCUCAGUGUCGAAGCGAAGGUGAUAAGUCCACUGCCUGGGGAGUACGGUCGCAAGGCUGAAACUUAAAGGAAUUGGCGGGGGAGCACUGCAACCUGAGGAUUGUGCGGUUUAAUUGGAUUCAACGCCGGA